UACAGAGGUCUCAAGCGUUGUUCGGAUUCAUUGGGCGUAAAGGGUGCGUAGGCGGCGCGGUAAGUCGGGUGUGAAAUCUUGGAGCUUAACUCCGAAACUGCAUUCGAUACUGCGGUGCUUGAGGACUGGAGAGGAGACUGGAAUUCAUGGUGUAGCAGUGAAAUGCGUAGAGAUCAUGAGGAAGACCAGUGGCGAAGGCGGGUCUCUGGGCCUUACCUGACGCUGAGGAGCGAAAGCAUGGGGAGCGAACAGG
RNAcentral lists this ribosomal RNA (253 nucleotides) under uncultured prokaryote. RNAcentral's name for it is "partial 16S ribosomal RNA". It matches the Rfam family "Bacterial small subunit ribosomal RNA", at positions 524 to 776 of the family's 1533-position model. The record is from RNAcentral.